AAAAAAAAAAAAAAAAAGAACCCAAUUGUGUGGUGCGGUUUGGGGCUUUCCUGGAAAAGAAGAGUCUGCUUCUUCAGGCUUCUCAAUGAUUCUACGCUGUUUAUGCCUUUUAAUAAAUUCAUCUCCAUUUAAACAUGCUAAAGUGGGUUUUAUUGUCUGUAACUAAGAACCCGGGCCAAGACAUUCACCAAAUAAGUUUCCAGCACAUAUGAAACUGGCACUGUGCUUUAAAAAGAUUUGUUCACUCAACUAAUAGUUAUUGAGGCCUUACCAUGUGUUGGAUGCUGUAUACCACCCUUUGUACGUUAAUUAUUUGUUCAUUUAAUAAUAAUAACAAUAUUAACAAUACUCAGAAUGUGGAAAUUAUAGCAUGAGGUUUAAAUGAAAAAGAACAUAAACACUUUAAAUGUAAAGUACAGUUACACUCAUAUAAUUGUUCGUUGUGGUAUCUGUGAUACUUAAAGGAGUAUAUAUAAAUGCAGCCUUUCUUCAAAAGGACUGGAUUAUCAAGUAGGUUUCCCACCACUAGAGUUGUUCAGAGAUAGAAUAAUAAUCUGACACAGAUAUUGUUUAAGAGAUCUCUGCAUUGCAGUGAAGUUUGAUUAAAUAAUACUCAGAAUCUCAGCUUAUCCAAGUAGGGAAUCCAUAUUUCAGCCCCUGCCUCACACCAUCAAAGCAAAGCAACAACAAUUUGCAGUGGACUCUCCAAAAUUGUUCAUCUCUUUUAUAUACGCAAUUGGAGCUGGACUGUGGCUCCUUUGGGGAGACAGAUGUAGCUUGAAGGGUUUCUUCCCUCCUUGUUCUUAAUUCUUCCUGCCCUGAUAUGGCAUUCCAUUUCCGAACAUGGCAAGCAUCUUCCCCCUGGUGCCGCCCCCACCUCGCCCACACUAGGGGAGUGUGGGAGAGCAGUAUGCAGCCAAUGUGGACACUCUGUUCUAUAUUUUUGUCUCCUCCUCCAGGUGUCUGAACCUAUCCUUACUGGUAAUUACAGUACCAGAUGCUAGUUGGAAAAAAAAAAGAAACCCACAGUUUCACAAAACUGCAUCUCCACUCAGACUCCUAAUAUUCUGUCAUUAGUCGCAGCUCAUUUAUUUGUGUUUUGAUGGCAGGAAUGGUUUGGUGUGUUUUCCAUGGGAAGAAAAAUGUAUUUCAGUGAAAAGAGCUACAUGUUCAUGUUCCUAAUAUAUUUAUAGAGUCAGUUUAUCUAAUCUUAGAGAGUUGCAGUUUGAACACUUUGAUGUUCAGGGAUCACAUAAGGGGAACAAUAGUAAGCUUAAUGAAGAAAUCUUCCUGGUGAGCUGCAGGUGUCUCUGUCUAAUGAACCAUUCAUAUAACGAUCCAGGUCAUAUAUAAAGGUCCUUUCUGGCCGAAAUUGCUGCCCACAUGAGAGACUCAAAUCUGGUUGGUCCCAUUGGCUGGUCCCGAGUAUUGAAAUGUGCCCCUGAAAACUAUGACUUAGGAGAAGCCUGAAAACAAACACUAAUCUGUAUGGCCAGGACCUAGAAGAAUCUAGCUUAGUCCUAAUGAAAACCAGGCAGUGGGCCAACUCCUUUUAUAUUUGGUUUUCAUGAGAAUCUGUCUGUGGGGGAGCUCUGAGUGUUUUUAGUGCAAUAACAAGCUUGUGUUCUCUGGGCCAAUUAGUAUGUAAUUAGGUGUUGGCUAAUGAGGGGGAGGAUAAAAGGUGGAGCUGGCAGAGAGAGCGGGUAUGGGUGUGACUCAUGUGUAUGCAGGUGGUGAAGUGGCACAUGUUGAGAACUAAAUUGAAUUUCUAAAGCCCAAUAAUUUGUUACACACUAUUAGUAAGUUCUGUGCUAGACCUUCAGCAGCUUUUUCAUAUCUCUAUUGAAACAUGCUUCUAUUCCUCUCUGCAAAAUAAGAUGUUCAGCACAUGCAUGUUAACGUUUUUCCCUGGCCAUCUUCUAAAAGUUUAAAAUGAGAGUUGGUUGGGAUGCUUGUUAGUAUUGAGUUACCUAUAAGAAAAACAAAAGAAAACCAUUGGUUUGUUCUUCCACUCAGCAUAUAUUUCUUUGCGUGUUCAUCAGUGAGCUAAACAAAGAUCCCUGCCCUCUUGGAGCUUGCAUUCUAGUGAUGAGAGAUGGAUCAUGAACAACAAACUUAAAUAUGAAAAUUAUAUACUACCUUAGAAGGUGAUGAAAAAAUUUAGGGUGAGACAAGGGAUCACGUCCCCCCUCCCCCACCCCAACACACACACACACAAUGUUAAGGGAUGUGUGCAAGUUUCAAAAGAUAACGUCCCUGAGAAGGUAAGAUUUGAGCAAAGACUUGAAGGCCUUAUGGAAGGAAAAUGUUGGGGGAAAAGAGGUAAGAAUUGACACAAAUAAGUAAUGUCAUGCGCCAAAAAUGACUGAAGAUUCAGCAAAGACCAAAUGAAGAAAAAAAAAUUCUCAUUUUUUUUUAUUCCUCUCAUCUUUGAUGUUUGUCAAAGUCUGUACUGGUGCAGGCACUUUGAGUGUUUCUGUGGCCGCAAGAGGCUCCUGAUACCGCUCUCAUUUGAGUUUUUUUUUUUUUAAAGGAGCAGGGCAGAGAGCAAGGAAAAUAAAGGAAAAUACAGCUUUCGUGAAUGAGAAGAAACUGUAGUUUCAAUUGCAUAGGUGGGCCAAAUAGUUUUGGCAUUUUUUUUUGUCAGGCAGCAAAUGUGUUUUAAUUCUGUGAGUCCUUCCCGAGUACACCAGAAACUGUGAUAUGAGCUUUUUAUGAAUGCAGCCUUCACCAUGUCUCCUGUUAAUUCAUCCUGGUCUUCAUAAAACUGCAUGGUUAGGAAGGUAGUCUUCUUGGUUCUCCUGACUUCUGCGUGUCAGAGAGCUACUGCAAGUGAAAGCACCCAAGAGAGUGUAAAAUACUUUAAAGAUGUAAGAUACUACUUUACUGUUAAUCUAUGUUGUUAAAAAAAAUUCUAAAUGAUGAUGAAUGUGCUUGUUCUCCUUCUCCAGGGAAGCAAGGUGAUAAUUUGAUUUUUUAGUUAACCUGAUGAGUUUUUGUAGCUGUCAAGAACUCUAAAAUUGAGGUAAGCCCCAAAUGAUAAGUAAAUUAUGAUAUUAUGGUCUGUUUUUCACCAGACUAAUUCAGUAAAGCAUCAUCCCCACUACUUAUCAAGGUACGUCUCACACUGCCUGUGCCAAAGGAUUCGCCAAUGGCAGAAACCAGAAAAAAAUCAAAUUCUUUUAUUCAUAGGUUCUCUUCAUAUUACCACCUCGCUAUUAUAUUCAUACAUCAUCAAGGAAACCACAUUACCCCUGAUGUUUACUUUUGCUGUUCUGUGCCUCUGGCAAGCUGAUAAUCUGAAACUAAUAUCCUUUUAUUAUUUAUACAACAUUUGGCAAGAGUGGAAUAAACACCAGUAAAGAGUGUUUAUCUUUUGACUUUGUUUUUAAUUUCUACUCAAGAGUGCUUCUUUAUUGGAAAGGGAACCAAUUUUCACAUCUCCAAUUAUGUAAGGAAUUUCAUGUGACAAUAUGGUUUAAUUGACAUCAUAUAUCCAAAUUAUUCCAGUCAUAUUUAGUCCUUCUUAUAACUAGUUCUGUGGCAGUAGCCUCACCAAGCUCCUGCUUGAAAUCUACUCACUGUGAACUUCCUUUCCAAUGUAACUUCGCUCUUUCAUAAGAUUUUACUAAUUCAUUGACUUCUCCCAGUCCUCAAAGGUAACUGCAGGUGAACAUUUUAUUUUUGAGCAGACAGACUUAACAUUAAUAUUGUUCUUUGUGUAUGAAGGUGACCUUACUGACUGACCAGCCUAGGGGCAGACAUUUGAUUUUUUUCUCCAGUAAUGGGUAUAGAUUUAUUCUGGCAUACUUAUGGCCUUGCUGAGUAAAGCUGAGGCCAUGAAUCAGAGUAAGGCUGAUUGGCCUCCAUAGAGCAUUGACCACAUAACCAUACACUUACUAGCACCAUGGGCUAAUCUGCUGCAUUAAUGGUUACAGAUGUUGUGUUUAAUAUCCAAGUCAAAGCUAACCUUUGCAAAGCAGAACAGACUCUGUGCUAAGUACCAGACAUAGACCAUUUUCUAUACUCUACAACUCAAUAAGAUUGGUAGUCUUAAUCUAUUUAGAGUGAGAAGAUGAAUACUUAAAAGGAUUAGGUAAUUUGUCCAAGGUGACAAUGAGAAUAAGUAGUAAACCCAGGAUUCGAACCCAGCUUUAAUAUAGAUCCAUCAUUUUUAACCUCUACACUAAACUGUGUCCUUCAUUAAUGGUAUACCUAAGUUAUAGCCUGUAAUCUAUACUGUAAUCUAGCCCUGUAAUAAUCAGGAAUAAGUUGACUUCUAUACAAGGGCUAUACUAUACUAUCCUUGACCAAGAAAUAUCUCCAAGUUUCAAGCAAACUCUCAAAGCUUCAGGUCAAACUUCCUCUUCAGAGUUAGCCAUAGAGAAUAUAGGCCAAUAUAUGGUAUAUUGUCCUGAUACUUAAAACAUUUUCUGUAAGCAAAGAUUUAUCAGGAAAUUGAUUUACUGAAUGGCCAUGGGGGCACCAUCACAUCCACUCCUGCUUCAGUGAGCUGACCAAUUGGGUCUUUAUUCCUCACAAGCAGGUUGCUUGCUGAAAUCUAAUUUAUUAAAUCCAUCAAAUUUUGGUUUACAGUGUGUACUCAACAAAAGCAAAAUAAUCUCAAUUUCAAAGAUAAACUUAUACAAAUUGUAUAAUUCAUAUAAUAGACUGUUCUACUGAUAAUCAAUGAAUAAAAAUAUGUCAUAUUUUAAGAUGAUUUUGCAAUUAGGGGAAAAAGGAGAUUUUCCUCAAUUAAAAAAUUAGUAGGUAUAUGUAGAAUAUAGUAUGUUUUAAGUGAAAAAUCAGAAAAAAUGAUUUAGAAAUGGCAGUAUUUCUUCGUCUUUGAAGGGUUUAAGCUAUUUUAAAGAGAUUUUUAAACCUUUGAACUUUAGAGGGAAAAAAUGGUCUACCAGUAGUCACAAAAAUAAAAUGUAAAUUAAUUUUUGCUUUAAGAAGCAAAAUAUGAAAUGCUCCACAAGAUUUACUUUUGUGUGGUGUUUUUUUCCUUCUUGUUUUGCUUUUACUUUGAGCAAGAAACACAAAGUGUCAUGAAAUAAUUACAAGUAGUAACAAAUUUUUUAUAAGACUGGAAAACAUUGCUCUUAGACAAGUUUGAGGUCAAAUCUCAAGUCUAACACUUACUGACUGUGUUAUUUUACAUGAGUUAGUUAACUCUCUAAGUUCUAAAAAAUGUUUAAUAUAAAGUAAGACACUCUCCCGCGGAAUCUUGGAAUAACCAAAUUGUGGUAGACUAUGUAUGCAAAGAGGUGGGCAUAGUGCAUGCCUUAUAGCAAGUGCUCGAUGGAUGCACAUUGCAGUCUUUUAAAAAUCUCUAUUCUCUAUUUUAGACAAUGAAAGCAAAAUUCAAUAGAAGAAAGGAAAAAUGAAAAAGACAACAUUAAAAGAGAAGAUCAAGCUUUCCAGCAUCAUACUGGGGCUUAAUAAUGCCUUUGGCUUUGGGAUUGGGAUUUUUUGAUGUGACCAAACAGCCAUUUAUGUUCUCAGAAAACUGGAAUAGGAAUAUCCUAUGGUGGAAGAAAAGAAUGGACCAUGAUGAAAAUUUCUACACCAGAAGACUUGAGAUGACUGCACAUGAUGUUGGGAGCUAUGUCGUUCAUCUUGUGACAUUAAGAGACAAGAAUGACAAGCAGCUGAGGGCAGAGAAGAAGGAUGGAAGAAACUUGGGUCCUUGAACUUGCGUUUGAACCUCUGAAUGACCUUCCCUGGACCACUAUAUAUAGCUACAAAGACCUGUUGUGUGAAAUAGUGAGUCUCCACUUUUGUCACAUGUGGCUAAAAACAUCCUAAUUAAAAACAAAAUAAAUUAUUAAUUGCUGGUAUAAACCUCAUAAAGAAAACUUUAAUUGAAGAAAAAUAAAGGAAUUCUCUAAAACUAAUUUUACAUUAAAUAUGCAAAAAAUCAGUUAAUACUAGUAACUAAAAUGCAGAUCACAGUAUGAAAUAAAUUUAAAUGAAUCCUUACCUUGUAAUCUAGACAAAGCAAAUGUCAGUACAAAUUGAUGAAGCAAGGCAUAAAAUGCAAUACAUUUGAAUGAAUGCCUUCACAGAUAUCUAUUAUAUAUAUAAAUAAAUUCAUAAAAAAUGAAGAAAUGUUAAAUGCAUCCUUGCACAUACAAUGAAAACAAGUAUUUUUCUCAAUAGGAACAAGCAAAAGGAAAAAAAUUGAAUGAAUUUUAAAAGAAAUUAGCCUCAACCAAAAAAAAAAAACAACAACAAUGAUACUGCUUUUGAGUCAUGGAUUUUGUAGGAUGCUGAUAUAUUUAUAUCUGAAAUGUUAAGGUACUAAUCCAGGAUCUGUGUGGCUGCUUGAUUACAUUUUUAAUAAAGAAAAUUACUCAGCCUGAGAAACUUCCUCUUAGUUCAAUGAUAGUUUGAAUUUCCAUUCUUUACCACUAGAAAAUCACAUCAUCUUUGCUGUCUUAUCCCAUGUUACCUUUCUCCCUAGUCAUGUGAAAUUUGAUAUUGUUGGUGAUAUUUAGGGGAAGAAUUUUGUUAGAAAUGUAGAUUUCUAUAUUUCUAUAGAGUGAACCCUCUAAGGGCUUGUAGGAGUUCAUGGAUCUAGAAAUGCUUUAGAAAUUGUUAAGUGCUACACAAAAGUAUAUGUAGUUAAUUAUCUUUUGAGACUUUGAAUCAUGUGAUCACUUUUAAUAAAAGUAUGUUAGAAGAAACAAUUUCGAAUACACAACUAUUGAACAAUUAUAUAACAAAAUGAUAACAGCUUAGUGUUUAAUAUUUUCAGUGGAACAAUUAUAUAACAAAAUGAUAACAGCUUAGUGUUUAGUAUUUUCAGUGGCUAGUUAUGUAAUGGAUAAAUAGCAAUCACAGAACAGUCAAGGGUAGCUCUGAUUUGGGGAGAAGGGAGGUAGCCACACGUUGGGCAAAAGAUUCAGUGUUCCAAAUGACUUAGGUGGAUGAAUCAGUUAUUCAGAAGAAGCUGAAGAGGCUCAAUAAGUGAAUCUUCAGUAAAUUGCCCUUGAAGAAAAAUCCAAUGAUAGGGAAGAACGGAAACCCCAUUGAAGUCAUGCCACCUGCAAGAAGCUUUUUUCAACUAUGCCUGCCAGCUUUUCCGUUCAGCAUGCCUACUGCACUACAUGAAUACUAGUUAUUCCAGUUCCGUGAGUACUGGUAAAUCUAGUUAAACCUUGUAAGUUUUAUGUAUGACCCACAAAGUUUUAUACUUAAUCUCAUUUAUAGAACAUGAGUAAGAUAUCAAGAAUAUGAUUAAGAAUAUUUUAAAUAUUCUUCCAAUGUAAUAUUUCCAGCUCAUCAAGCAGGCUGUGAAUUCAUAGAGCAGGGAUCAUGUUUUCUUAUUUUUUUUUUCUUUUCAGUACCCUGAUGCUAAAUACAUAGAACAUACUGAAUAAAUAUCAUUGGUUUGUGUAAUGGUUAAAAGUACAGGCUUGGGCUUUUGCCAGGUGAAAUUUCAUGUCUCUCUCUAGCAGUUAUUUCCACAUGAAACUAGGCAACCAUUUUAGCUUUUCUGGACAUCAUUUUCCUUAUUACAGGUCACAUGAAAUUAUGUAAAGCUGCUGGUCAUAAUAUUGUAAUAACAUCUUUCUUUUCUUGGGCACAAUAUUAUGACCAAGAGGAAUGGGAUGUACUGGCAAACAAGCCAGAAGUCAGAAAAAAGACCACAGUUACUAAAGAACAACAAAAGAUAGUCUCUGAAAUAAAAGAUGUGGAUGGACUCAUAGCAGAAGACAUGGAGGAUCAAUGAUACAAUGGCUAUUUCAAAGACAAUAACCUGUUCUUAGUGUCUACUUAAUAUAUAAAAGAAGGCAAGGCAACAUGAAAGAUUUUGGAUGGAUAUAAAGGAGGACUUUCCAAUGGGUAUUAUAAUAUUAGAAGAUAUUAUAGAUAGAGAUGAUAAAAUUCCUUGAGCUACCCUAACAAUAGUUUGUGGAGAAAGGUAAAAUAAGAAAAAUAUGUUUGUGCAAAUUUUAUGGCCAAAAAAAUGGUCUACAGUAAUUAAAGAAAUGUAAACUUAAAAAAACUGAGAUUCAUAAAAUACGAUGCUAUAGUUAGAAAUAAUAUCACAGUUGAGAAAAAAGAAAUAACGUACAGUGUCUAUUGAGAUGAAGAAAAUGUGACUAUGGCACACAAAAGGAAGAGUGAUAGCUUAAGUAUAGAGCUCAUUAAAGCACAGCUCAGUUCUCAUAGCAUACCUAAAAUGCAGUUAUUUUAGCAAGUUUCAAUGAUAUGCCUUAUAAAACCUAUCAUCCACAGAUCUGAUUUACAGUUCCUUCAGGGUAGUUUGAAUACGAUUUCAAAGCUGUCAUUUUGAGCUUGCCCUUAGCAAGUUGACUUGCUGAACUUACCUUUGUAUGCCCUUUACUACAUCCCAUUUCUCACCUAGACUCUAAUUUUGCCUCUGUCAAGUCAUCUAGUUUUUCAAACUCUUCUCAAGGCCUAUCUCCUUGGGGAAUCUUCCUAACCUUUCAGGAAAAUUAGACAAUAUCCACUGUUUCAGAUACCUGAUGCAUAAACAGACCUCUGUAUCUAUUCACAACCCAACAUUUGAAAAUUUUUAAAAGUCAAUAAUUUAAGAACAAACCUUGAAUAAUACUCUUGGUUACAGGAUGAAAUUUAAGAUAAAGGUCACUCUUGGAUCUCAUUUUUCAUUAAACAGGAUGAAACCUUAUU
Molecule: non-coding RNA, 8667 nt
Organism: Macaca mulatta (Rhesus monkey)
Lineage: Eukaryota; Metazoa; Chordata; Mammalia; Primates; Cercopithecidae
Source: RefSeq, a predicted model, not a curated record